GCCUGGGUGGCUCAGUCGGUUGGGCAUCUGACUUCGGCUCAGGUCACCAUCUCACGGUUCGUGAGUUCGAACCGCACGUCGGGCU
Felis catus (domestic cat) is the source of this 85-nucleotide non-coding RNA. The record is from Rfam. NCBI's taxonomy places the organism in Eukaryota, Metazoa, Chordata, Mammalia, Carnivora, Felidae.